Molecule: transfer RNA, 64 nt
Filed under: Clistocoeloma sinense
Lineage: Eukaryota; Metazoa; Arthropoda; Malacostraca; Decapoda; Sesarmidae
Description: tRNA-Arg
Source: RNAcentral
AAUUAGAAAGCGAAUUAUUGCAUUUAGUUUCGACCUAAAAUUUAGGCUUCCAGCCUUCUAAUUU